AUCAUAUCAUAUUAGCCUCCCUACUGGCCCCAGUGUGUGAUGUUCCCGUCCCUGCGUCCAAGGGUUCUUAUUGUUCAACUACCACUUAUGAGUGAGAACAUGUGGUGUUUGGUUUUCUGCUCCUGUGUUAGUUUGCUGAGAGUGAUGGUUUCCAGCUUCAUCCACGUCCCUGCAAAAGACAUGAAGUCAUUCUUUUUUAUGGCUGCAUAGUAUUCCAUGGUGUAUAUGUGCCACAUUUUGUUUAUCCAGUCUAUCAUUGAUGAGCAUUUGGGUUGGUUCCAUGUCUUUGCUAUAGUGAAUAGUGCUGCAAUAAAGAUGUG
Molecule: long non-coding RNA, 320 nt
Filed under: Homo sapiens (human)
Lineage: Eukaryota; Metazoa; Chordata; Mammalia; Primates; Hominidae
Description: HSALNT0374193
Source: RNAcentral